This 143-nucleotide small nucleolar RNA is filed under the name Myotis lucifugus (little brown bat). Its description in RNAcentral is "Small nucleolar RNA SNORA48". It matches the Rfam family "Small nucleolar RNA SNORA48". From Rfam's summary of the family: The snoRNA ACA 48 has been identified to guide pseudouridylation of the residue U3797 in the 28S rRNA subunit. Its host gene EIF4A1 (eukaryotic translation initiation factor 4A1) is shared with U67 and snoRNA mgU6-77 Lineage: Eukaryota; Metazoa; Chordata; Mammalia; Chiroptera; Vespertilionidae. The record is from Rfam by way of RNAcentral.
ACCCCCUGGCAAUGGGCAAGGAAACAUCUGAUUGGUGGUAUUGCUCAUAUCAAUCAGGGGCAAAGCAGAUGUACAGUCCUUAGUUCAUCCUAGCUUGAUGUCUGUGUCGGUGGCCAGAGCUGUUUCAUGCCUGAGGCACAUUA